UCCGGCGAUUCAAAUUCAAAUUUCACAAACCCUGCAAACCUUAAUCUUCUUGCAGACGCCACCAUAAAAUCUUCUUUUGUUCAUCGAUUACUUCAUCAAAAGGGUUGUUGUCAUCGAUUGUCAUCAAAGUUGAAAUCAGCUUAGCUGCGGAUAGAUUUCUGCCAUAAGCUGUUGAAGGGAUCAUUUGAGUGAAAUCAAUGUUGAUUUAUCAGAAGAUGCAGUUGAAGAUAUCUUAAUUAAGGAUGUAAUACAAUUAUAAAGACUGAUGGUUAUAACAGCUGAUCAUGCUAAGGACUGUUAUAAUUAACCACUGCUCCUUAUAAAGACUGAUGGACUUAAAUACUGAUGAGGCCU
Long non-coding RNA from Helianthus annuus (common sunflower), 354 nucleotides. RefSeq lists it as uncharacterized. The transcript has 4 exons. The record is from RefSeq and is a predicted model, not a curated record. Lineage: Eukaryota; Viridiplantae; Streptophyta; Magnoliopsida; Asterales; Asteraceae.